This 426-nucleotide ribosomal RNA is filed under the name uncultured bacterium. Its description in RNAcentral is "partial 16S ribosomal RNA". It matches the Rfam family "Bacterial small subunit ribosomal RNA", at positions 354 to 796 of the family's 1533-position model. The record is from RNAcentral.
GUGAGGAAUUUUCCGCAAUGGGCGAAAGCCUGACGGAGCAAUGCCGCGUGAAGGAUGAAGGCCUAUGGGUUGUAAACUUCUUUUCUCAGAAAAGAAUUAUGACGGUAUCUGAGGAAUAAGCAUCGGCUAACUCUGUGCCAGCAGCCGCGGUAAGACAGAGGAUGCAAGCGUUAUCCGGAAUGAUUGGGCGUAAAGCGUCUGUAGGUUGUUUAAAAAGUAUUCUGUCAAAGAUUAGGGCUGAACCCUAGAUAGGCAGAAUAAACUUUUAAGCUAGAGUUUGGUAGAGGCAGAGGGAAUUCCCGGUGGAGCGGUGAAAUGCGUAGAUAUCGGGAGGAACACCAAAGGCGAAGGCACUCUGCUGGGCCAAUACUAACACUGAGAGACGAAAGCGAGGGGAGCAAAUGGGAUUAGAUACCCGUGUAGUCC